AGACAGAGGAGGCAAGCGUUGUUCGGAAUCACUGGGCUUAAAGCGCGUGUAGGCGGCUUGGUAAGUGUCGUGUGAAAUCCCAUGGCUCAACCAUGGAACUGCACGGCAAACUACCUGGCUUGAGGUCGGUAGAGGUGCCUGGAACUCUAGGUGGAGCGGUGAAAUGCGUAGAUAUCUAGAGGAACGCCAGAAGCGAAAGCGGGGCACUGGGCCGAUUCUGACGCUGAGACGCGAAAGCGUGGGGAGCAAACAGGAUUAGAUACCCUGGUAGUCCACGCCGUAAACGAUGCACACUAGACGUUGGGGCCUCUGACGGAACCGGCGUCGUAGCAAAAGUGCUAAGUGUGCCGCCUGGGGAGUACGGCCGCAAGGCUAAA
RNAcentral lists this ribosomal RNA (377 nucleotides) under uncultured bacterium. Its description in RNAcentral is "bacterial SSU rRNA". It matches the Rfam family "Bacterial small subunit ribosomal RNA", at positions 523 to 898 of the family's 1533-position model. The record is from RNAcentral.